UUCCUUGUUCCCUUUAGAGGAAGUAAAAGUCGUAACAAGGUUUCCGUAGGUGACCUGCGGAAGGAUCAUUAUCGAUUCUUGAUAAAAGAUAACGGAAAGAGGGUAGAGAGACUGUAGCUGGCUUUUCUGAUUCUGAUUCUGAUUCUGAUUCUGAAUCGCAUGUGCACGUCCCCUCACCUUUUCUUCCUUAUCUAUAUCCUUUAUAGAUCCCCUAGAAAGCUCAGGCCUCAGGCUCUGAGCUUUGCAAGGAUCUAUAUGUUUUCAUCACAUCACACAUGUCGUAUGGCUAGAAUGAAAUCAUAAUAUACAUAUAUACAACUUUCAGCAACGGAUCUCUUGGCUCUCGCAUCGAUGAAGAACGCAGCGAAUUGCGAUAAGUAAUGUGAAUUGCAGAUUUCCAGUGAAUCAUCGAAUCUUUGAACGCAUCUUGCGCUCCUUGGUAUUCCGAGGAGCAUGCCUGUUUGAGUGUCAUUGAAUUCUCAAUCAUCUUCUCUUUCUUGGGGGGAGGGGGGAUGGCUUGGAGUUGGGGGUUGCUGGCAGGGGAAAACCCGUCAGCUCUCCUUAAAUGCAUCAGCAAUCAAGUUGGCUAGUCUUUCGACGUGCACGGCUUUGGACGUGAUAAUGAUCGUCAUGGCUGGAGCGUCUUCUAGUUCAUCAGAUAGCUUCUAAUCUCGAGAGGAAGAGAGCGAUCAAGCUUUCAAUGGCUACUAGGGCAGCAGUCUGAAAUGACAAGGCUGGCCGAACGCAGAAAGAGGGCAAGAUCUAUCUCUCGACUUCAGAUAUCAGAGACUUGACCUCAAAUCAGGUAGGACUACCCGCUGAACUUAAGCAUAUCAAUAGGCCGGAGGAA
This 850-nucleotide ribosomal RNA is filed under the name Phylloporus rubiginosus. Its description in RNAcentral is "eukaryotic LSU rRNA". The stretch from base 317 to 471 matches the Rfam family "5.8S ribosomal RNA". Lineage: Eukaryota; Fungi; Basidiomycota; Agaricomycetes; Boletales; Boletaceae. The record is from RNAcentral.